Molecule: long non-coding RNA, 2842 nt
Organism: Papaver somniferum (opium poppy)
Lineage: Eukaryota; Viridiplantae; Streptophyta; Magnoliopsida; Ranunculales; Papaveraceae
Exons: 6
Source: RefSeq, a predicted model, not a curated record
CACAAAACUCUCUCAAACUCCCUACACUCUCUCAAACUCUCUCAAAAUCCCUGAGAUUUAAAAUACACUCAACUCCCCCGAAAUCAUUCGAGGACUAACCCCCGGUACUUUCGCCGUCUCUUUUCUCCGUCCCUGAUCCUAUUUUCUUCGCCUCUUAGUUCAUCGCAUGCAUGUGUUUUGAUCCAAGGGAGAGUUCUGUACGUUUUUAUUUUCCAUGGGAGAUUUUUGCUAUUGGUAAACCCUUACCUUUCUUUUCUGUCUCUUUGUUUCUCUGCAUCAUAAACCCUAACCCUUCCACCUCCAGUUUACCCACCCCUUCUCUGAUUGUUUGGCUAGAUGUUUUUCUGAUUCGUGUUCGUUUUUUGUUGCGGGCAUCUUCAUCAUGGGUCAUUGAGAAAAAAUCCCCCUCUUGGUCGGAUAUAAUUCAGUACUGGUGAUAACAACUCGCAGAGCAGGGAAAUGGAAGAAAGGUAAAAUUCAUAAUUCUUCAUUGAUCUACUUCUUUUGUCAGGUUGAUUUUUAGGGUACUGCAGAUCCACAAAAAAUAUCAGAUGUUUUAUGGAUUUGAACUUCAAAAUGUUUUUCUAACGGUGUUGUUGAUAAGAAGGAGAAAAAGGAAAAAGAUAGUAUCUUUUGUACCAUUAUUCGUGCAAAAUCCCAAGAAAGAGUAAUUUUAAAGAGAAGGCGAAAGGAACAUAAAGGUUUUGCACUGUCGCAAUAUGCAAGAAAAUUAUCAGGAACGGUUAGGUGAUUGCAAUCCCGUUGUUGUUUUUUAUUUUUUAUGACUAAGUAACAGUAUGGUCACUGUUACGACUAUCUUUAAGGAUCUCAUCAAAAAACAAUUGGAAGAGAAUGCAUCCUUGAAAGCCGAAGUGCUAGCUCUUCUGAGGUGGGAAUAGAUCAGGCAUGCCUUCUCAUUUAAUGUACUUUAGGACUUGACUCAUGGAUACUGCCACUGAAAUGGACUAUGCAAAGUACAUUGCAUAUAAAUGUGAAAUGUAUGUGUACAAUGCAAAAAUUGCCACUACUAACCAACACUAAACUCUCUCUAUAUGUGAACUGAUAGUCACUUUUGUUAUUAUUCUUUUUGUUUUUGUUUGAUUGUUAAAAUUUAACAUUAUAAUGUGAUUUUUGUGUUAAUGACUACUGCAGUACAACCACUGCAGAAAUUAAGUAUAACUGCUACUGGAUGCAACUUAUGAUGCAGCCACUGCAAAAGUUAAGUAUAACUGCUACUGGAUGCAACCUACGAAUGCUGGCAGUAGCUACAAGCCAACCUAGCUCUACCAUCCUCCAAUUCUGAUGGCACAAAUUCAAUUUUCUGAAAGCCAUCGAGAAGUCAUACUUUGGUCACUGUCAGAAUGAGACACAGGAAAUGUAGUUUUCUUACAAUGCUCAUGUCAUCCAUGACAAGGUAAGUUUUCUCAUCAUAGUAACGAAAAUUUACAGUACGUUGAAUUCUACUAAUACACUUCUCAUAUAACCAAUGUGGAUCUUAUACGUUCCCUUUUCUAUUGUUUAACCUUGCAUAUUUGUUGCUAUAUCCACGGUAUUGCUCUAUUUAACCCAUGUAAUCCAUACGAGACUCCAACAGUCUCCAAGUCUCCAAUUUGGUGCUCAAAAUCCAUCAGCUGAUGUCGUACCAGGAACUCUAAGAGCGGUAGAUGAAUAAAAGAAAGAUUAAAGGCAGUUCAAGAGCCGAGUACAAGGCGUGUCUGGCAUUGGCUUGGAUCUGUUUAGAAGCCAACAUGCAAACAAGGUACGGUGAUGGUGAUAUGUUAACAAUGGGUGUUGAAAACGUUUUGGUGGCUGUAUUUGGUAGUUGUACGUGCUGGGGAACGAUCUGUUGAAGGAUAUCGACUGCGUUUAAGCCGAUAAACUGGCGAGAAAAGAGGUUCCAUGGACUGCUGCUGCCACUGAUUUCGUGUGGCAAAAUGGUGAUGAACGGAGAGGAUCAUGAGGUUGUUCUCAGCUGGAAUAAAAUAAGGAUGAUGGAUGGAUGUACAAAGAUUGUGAAGCUUGAGUUCAAGACAUACAUACAACAAUAACAACAACAGUGGAUAUUGGGGGCUUUCUAUAUGCAUUGAGGACUGGAUUCGCGCCAUGGAGUUCAAGGAGUAGUAAUUGAAGAUGGGUUUUGCAUGAAGCUGUUGGAUCAGCGAAGAUGGAUUUUCUUACAAGGGCGCCGAACCAGUGGUGUUAAUACUGUGAUUGUUGCUUUUGAUUCAGGGAUUCAGGGGUUUUGACCUAAAAUUGGCGUUGGUUGUGAUGGAUGUUACCAGUAUUAAGAGUGCAGUGACUGCAGUCAGUGAUGGUGAUAACACAUGUAUGCUGAUUUAGGUCAUAAUUCAGUUGGAUUUAAAUUCAAGUUCAAGGAGAAAGGGAAGUGAACAACUGCGAAGAAAAAUGAAGUUGGGGUCGUUAGGAACCAAAAAAAAUAAAAAAACAAACAAACCCUAACUUCUUUUUCUUCCCUCUUUUCUUCCACCGGUGGAGUAAACCGCCACAUUGAGAGGUGGGUGUGCAAUUGCGCCCCCUCAAAUGUAAGCUUCCAAGCCUAAUUUAAGCAAUUUUCCUCCCAUUUUAGUCAUUUUUGCACCCCCUAAAAUGUGUGCAUGAUUGAUAAUUUGCCCACCCAUUUCUAGAAUUCUGGCCCCCCCUGAGUAAACCCUAACUUCUUCUUUUUUUUAUAUAAUUUUGAUUAGGGUUUGCUUUCCUUGCAAAUACUUUGCUGCCAUCUUUUCUGCCUUUUGUGCAAGUGAAUCUAUGGUAACCUAAACGGCUAAACCUAUUCUCUUUUGCACUUAAAAAUUGAAAGUGCAGCAUUAUUGCUUUAACAUUA